AACGCAUCUUGUGCCCUUUGGUCACUCUGAAGGGCAUGCCUGUUUGAGAGUCAUUAUUGUUCUCAAACUUCAUAAGUUUGUUAUGAAGCUUUGGAUGUGGAGGGAUCCUUGCUGGCAAAUUUUUAUUGCUGGCACCUCUCAAAUGCAUCAGUAGAGAGCAUUUUGUUCUUGGCUCUGGUUUGAUAAGUUGAAUAUCUAUGCCAUUGCUUUGACCGGCUUACUGGUUUCUUGUCCAUCACGGACAUUUUGUGAAAACAUGACCUCAAAUCAGGUAGGACUACCCGCUGAACUUAA
This 294-nucleotide unclassified non-coding RNA is filed under the name uncultured fungus. RNAcentral describes it as "sequence contains ITS2". The record is from RNAcentral. Lineage: Eukaryota; Fungi.